This 71-nucleotide transfer RNA is filed under the name Nippostrongylus brasiliensis. It matches the Rfam family "tRNA". From Rfam's summary of the family: Transfer RNA (tRNA) molecules are approximately 80 nucleotides in length. Their secondary structure includes four short double-helical elements and three loops (D, anti-codon, and T loops). The record is from Rfam by way of RNAcentral. Lineage: Eukaryota; Metazoa; Nematoda; Chromadorea; Rhabditida; Heligmosomidae.
ACAUCGGUAGCACAGUGGUCAGAGCAGUCUGCCGGAAACAGAUGUCACGGGUUCAAUUCCCCUCCGAUGUC